This 480-nucleotide ribosomal RNA is filed under the name uncultured bacterium. RNAcentral's name for it is "bacterial SSU rRNA". It matches the Rfam family "Bacterial small subunit ribosomal RNA", at positions 29 to 507 of the family's 1533-position model. The record is from RNAcentral.
AUGAACGCUGGCGGCGUGCUUAACACAUGCAAGUCGAACGAAGCACUUUUUACAGAUUUCUUCGGAAUUGAAGUUUUAGUGACUGAGUGGCGGACGGGUGAGUAACGCGUGGGUAACCUGCCUCACACAGGGGGAUAACAGUUGGAAACGGCUGCUAAUACCGCAUAAGCGCACAGUACCGCAUGGUACAGUGUGAAAAACUCCGGUGGUGUGAGAUGGACCCGCGUCUGAUUAGCUAGUUGGCAGGGCAACGGCCUACCAAGGCGACGAUCAGUAGCCGACUUGAGAGAGUGACCGGCCACAUUGGGACUGAGACACGGCCCAGACUCCUACGGGAGGCAGCAGUGGGGAAUAUUGCACAAUGGAGGAAACUCUGAUGCAGCGACGCCGCGUGAGUGAAGAAGUAGUUCGCUAUGUAAAGCUCUAUCAGCAGGGAAGAUAGUGACGGUACCUGACUAAGAAGCUCCGGCUAAAUACGUG